GGAUUAGGCAUGCAAGUCGAACGAGAAAGUCCUCUUCGGAGGGCGAGUAAAGUGGCGAACGGGUGAGUAACGCAUGGACAACCUACCUCCGAGAGAGGGAUAACGUCUCGAAAGGGACGCUAAUACCGCAUGAUGUUCACCGGCGCCGGCUGGUGAACCAAAGGAUUGCCUCUGCAUGCAAGCUUUCGCUCGGAGAGGGGUUCAUGUCCUACUAGCUUGUUGGUGAGGUAACGGCUCACCAAGGCAGCGAUGGGUAGCCGGCCUGAGAGGGUGUCCGGCCACACUGGGACUGAGACACUGCCCAGACUCCUACGGGAGGCUGCAGUCGAGAAUCUUCCGCAAUGCGCGCAAGCGUGACGGAGCGACGCCGCGUGGGUGAUGAAGGCCUUCGGGUUGUAAAGCCCUGUUUCCCGAUAUGAACGCCAGACGGUGAAUAGCUGUUCUGGUUGACGUUAACGGGGGAGGAAGCACCGGCUAAAUACGUGUCAGCAGCCGCGGUAAUACGUAUGGUGCAAACGUUGUUCGGAAUCACUGGGCAUAAAGAGCACGUAGGCGGUCUGGUAAGUCUGACUGUGAAAUCCCUCGGCUCAACCGAGGAACUGCAUCGGAUACUGCCGGACUCGAGUACAGUAGGGGAGAGUGGAAUUCCUGGUGGAGCGGUGAAAUGCGUAGAUAUCAGGAGGAACGCCGGUGGCGAAAGCGACUCUCUGGACUGCUACUGACGCUGAGGUGCGAAAGCCAGGGGAGCAAACGGGAUUAGAUACCCCGGUAGUCCUGGCCCUAAACGAUGGGCACUAAGUAGAGGGGUUUU
This 811-nucleotide ribosomal RNA is filed under the name uncultured Planctomycetota bacterium. RNAcentral describes it as "bacterial SSU rRNA". It matches the Rfam family "Bacterial small subunit ribosomal RNA", at positions 46 to 832 of the family's 1533-position model. The record is from RNAcentral. Lineage: Bacteria; Pseudomonadati; Planctomycetota.